GGGUGAUCUGCCCUGCACUUCGGGAUAAGCCUGGGAAACUGGGUCUAAUACCGGAUAUGACCUCCGGUUGCAUGACUUGGGGUGGAAAGAUUUAUCGGUGCAGGAUGGGCCCGCGGCCUAUCAGCUUGUUGGUGGGGUAAUGGCCUACCAAGGCGACGACGGGUAGCCGACCUGAGAGGGUGACCGGCCACACUGGGACUGAGACACGGCCCAGACUCCUACGGGAGGCAGCAGUGGGGAAUAUUGCACAAUGGGCGAAAGCCUGAUGCAGCGACGCCGCGUGAGGGAUGACGGCCUUCGGGUUGUAAACCUCUUUCAGCAGGGACGAAGCGCAAGUGACGGUACCUGCAGAAGAAGCACCGGCUAACUACGUGCCAGCAGCCGCGGUAAUACGUAGGGUGCAAGCGUUGUCCGGAAUUACUGGGCGUAAAGAGUUCGUAGGCGGUUUGUCGCGUCGUUUGUGAAAACCAGCAGCUCAACUGCUGGCUUGCAGGCGAUACGGGCAGACUUGAGUACUGCAGGGGAGACUGGAAUUCCUGGUGUAGCGGUGAAAUGCGCAGAUAUCAGGAGGAACACCGGUGGCGAAGGCGGGUCUCUGGGCAGUAACUGACGCUGAGGAACGAAAGCGUGGGUAGCGAACAGGAUUAGAUACCCUGGUAGUCCACGCCGUAAACGGUGGGCGCUAGG
This 687-nucleotide ribosomal RNA is filed under the name Rhodococcus erythropolis. RNAcentral describes it as "bacterial SSU rRNA". It matches the Rfam family "Bacterial small subunit ribosomal RNA", at positions 119 to 820 of the family's 1533-position model. The record is from RNAcentral. Lineage: Bacteria; Bacillati; Actinomycetota; Actinomycetes; Mycobacteriales; Nocardiaceae.